AAUCAACGCUGGCGGCGUGCCUCAGACAUGCAAGUCGAACGAUUAAAGCUCUCUUCGGAGAGUGUAUAGAGUGGCGCACGGGUGAGUAACACGUAAGUAAUCUACCUUUGAGUGGGGAAUAACCCGGGGAAACCCGAGCUAAUACCGCAUAAUGCAGCGGCACCGCAAGGUGACAGUUGUUAAAGGAGCAAUCCGCUUAAAGAGGAGCUUGCGGCAGAUUAGCUAGNGGUAAGGUAAUGGCUUACCAAGGCUUCGAUCUGUAUCCGGCCUGAGAGGGCGGUCGGACACACUGACACUGAAUAACGGGUCAGACUCCUACGGGAGGCAGCAGUCGGGAAUUUUGGGCAAUGGGCGAAAGCCUGACCCAGCAACGCCGCGUGAAGGAUGAAGUAUUUCGGUAUGUAAACUUCGAAAGAAUGGGAAGAAUCAAUGACGGUACCAUUUAUAAGGUCCGGCUAACUACGUGCCAGCAGCCGCAGUAAC
RNAcentral lists this ribosomal RNA (483 nucleotides) under uncultured bacterium. Its description in RNAcentral is "bacterial SSU rRNA". It matches the Rfam family "Bacterial small subunit ribosomal RNA", at positions 32 to 524 of the family's 1533-position model. The record is from RNAcentral.